UCCGGUGGAAGCUCACCGUCGAGGCCACGCACUGGGUGCCAGUCACCCGCUGUCCCCGCCUCGGGGAAGGUCUGAGGGAAGGGCCGGAGGCGGCUCCAGCAGAGCCCCGCCCGCGUUGGGUGGGUGAGCCACCAGCAAGGGGGGGCACCGCGCGGGUCGGCCCGGGCAGGAGAAGCCGAGCGGCUGCGGAGCACAUCCGAGAGCCGGGGCGGAUGCUCGUGGCCCCGCGGUGCUUUGAGACAGACUCACGGCCGGCGCGCUGAGUCCAAUGGGUGAGAUGGGGCAGAGCCGCACAACCUAAUUCAGACUACUCUCCGCCGGA
This is a non-coding RNA of Callipepla squamata (scaled quail), 322 nucleotides long. It matches the Rfam family "Nuclear RNase P". From Rfam's summary of the family: Ribonuclease P (RNase P) is a ubiquitous endoribonuclease, found in archaea, bacteria and eukarya as well as chloroplasts and mitochondria. Its best characterised activity is the generation of mature 5'-ends of tRNAs by cleaving the 5'-leader elements of precursor-tRNAs. Lineage: Eukaryota; Metazoa; Chordata; Aves; Galliformes; Odontophoridae. The record is from Rfam.